RNAcentral lists this ribosomal RNA (229 nucleotides) under uncultured bacterium. RNAcentral's name for it is "partial 16S ribosomal RNA". It matches the Rfam family "Bacterial small subunit ribosomal RNA", at positions 568 to 796 of the family's 1533-position model. The record is from RNAcentral.
UGCGCAGGCGGACUCGUAAGUCAGUGGUGAAAUCUCAUAGCUUAACUAUGAAACUGCCAUUGAUACUGCAGGUCUUGAGUAAGGUAGAAGUAGCUGGAAUAAGUAGUGUAGCGGUGAAAUGCAUAGAUAUUACUUAGAACACCAAUUGCGAAGGCAGGUUACUAUGUCUUAACUGACGCUGAUGGACGAAAGCGUGGGGAGCGAACAGGAUUAGAUACCCUGGUAGUCC